UCCGGGCGGACGCCGAGUCCUGCCGCCGCCCGGAUGACCGGUCGACAGGAGUGGAUCGGCAGGAGUGGAGGACCCAGGCAAGGCGGGUCGCCGUAGCGGCUGGCCGUCCGUGAGAACGGACGGGCACACGCUCCGGGCCGACCCUUGGGGUGAAGCCGCGGCAACGCGGCCGGGCUACUUCGCCAGCCCGAAUCCGACAGGUCAUCCUUCACAGGCGGCUGACGAAGGGUUG
Molecule: small RNA, 232 nt
Filed under: Streptomyces sp.
Lineage: Bacteria; Bacillati; Actinomycetota; Actinomycetes; Kitasatosporales; Streptomycetaceae
Description: c-di-AMP sequence
Rfam family: c-di-AMP riboswitch aptamer (ydaO/yuaA leader)
About the family: This family represents a conserved RNA structure found upstream of the ydaO and yuaA genes in Bacillus subtilis and related genes in other bacteria. The ydaO/yuaA element is thought to act as a genetic "off" switch for the ydaO and yuaA genes in its native state.
Source: RNAcentral